AAUUAUAUUUUGGAUAUUUUUGGUUACCUAAAAUAUUUAGGUUUGUAUCCAUUCGGUUUCUGUUAUCUACAUAUACAUUUUUGCAGCCAUUUUAGCAAAUAAAUCCUGGAUUUGGACUCUAACAUAAGUAACUACAUUCUUCAAGU
Molecule: small RNA, 146 nt
Filed under: Arabidopsis thaliana (thale cress)
Lineage: Eukaryota; Viridiplantae; Streptophyta; Magnoliopsida; Brassicales; Brassicaceae
Description: ATSL278070
Source: RNAcentral